RNAcentral lists this ribosomal RNA (411 nucleotides) under uncultured soil bacterium. RNAcentral's name for it is "bacterial SSU rRNA". It matches the Rfam family "Bacterial small subunit ribosomal RNA", at positions 26 to 441 of the family's 1533-position model. The record is from RNAcentral.
AGAUUGAACGCUAGCGGGAUGCUUUACACAUGCAAGUCGAACGGCAGCGCGGACUUCGGUCUGGCGGCGAGUGGCGAACGGGUGAGUAAUAUAUCGGAACGUGCCCAGUAGCGGGGGAUAACUACGCGAAAGCGUGGCUAAUACCGCAUACGCCCUACGGGGGAAAGGGGGGGAUCGCAAGACCUCUCACUAUUGGAGCGGCCGAUAUCAGAUUAGCUAGUUGGUGAGGUAAAGGCUCACCAAGGCGACGAUCUGUAGCUGGUUUGAGAGGACGACCAGCCACACUGGGACUGAGACACGGCCCAGACUCCUACGGGAGGCAGCAGUGGGGAAUUUGGACAAUGGGGGAAACCUGAUCCAGCCAUCCCGCGUGUGCGAUGAAGGCCUUCGGUUGUAAGACGACUUUGGUCG